GAUGAACGCUGGCGGCGUGCAUAAUUCAUGUAAGUCGAGCGAACAGACGAGGAGCUUGCUCCUCUGUCGUUAGCGGCGGCCGGGUGAGUAACACGUGGAUAACCUACCUAUACAACUGGGAUAACUUCGGGAAACCGGCGCUAAUACCGGAUAAUAUAUUGAACCGCAUGGUUAAAUAGUGAAAGACGGUUUUCCUGUCACUUAUAGAUGGAUCCGCGCCGCAUUAGCUAGUUGGUAAGGUAACGGCUUACCAAGGCAACGAUGCGUAGCCGUCCUAAAAUGGUGAUCUGCCACACUGGAACUGAGAAACGCUCCAGACUCCUACGGGAGGCAACAGUAGGGAACCGUCCGUAAUGGGCGAAGGCCUGACGGAGCACCGCGCCAUGCGGGAUGAGGGUCUUCGGACCGUAACACACUGUUAUUAGGGAAGAACAUAGCUGUAAGUGACUAUGCACGUCUUGACGGUACCUAAGCAGAAAGCCACGGCUAAUUACGUG
This 497-nucleotide ribosomal RNA is filed under the name uncultured bacterium. Its description in RNAcentral is "partial 16S ribosomal RNA". It matches the Rfam family "Bacterial small subunit ribosomal RNA", at positions 28 to 507 of the family's 1533-position model. The record is from RNAcentral.